RNAcentral lists this ribosomal RNA (246 nucleotides) under uncultured bacterium. RNAcentral's name for it is "partial 16S ribosomal RNA". The record is from RNAcentral.
CUGCUGCCUUCCGUAGGAGUCUGGGCCGUAUCUCAGUCCCAAUGUGGCCGGCCAACCUCUCAGUCCGGCUACUGAUCGUCGCCUUGGUAGGCCGUUACCCUACCAACUAGCUAAUCAGACGCGAGUCCAUCUCUCAGCGAUAAAUCUUUGGUAUCCAUACCAUGCGAUACAGAUACGUUAUGCGGUAUUAGCAGUCGUUUCCAACUGUUCGUCCCCCUCUGAAAGGCAGGUUACUCACGCGUUACU